UGCCAGCAGCCGCGGUAAUACGGAGGGUGCGAGCGUUAAUCGGAAUUACUGGGCGUAAAGCGCGCGUAGGCGGUAAGUUAAGCGGGAUGUGAAAUCCCCGGGCUCAACCUGGGAACUGCAUUUCGAACUGGCUUGCUAGAGUACAGAAGAGGGUGGUGGAAUUUCCAGUGUAGCGGCGAGAUGCGUAGAGAUUGGAAGGAACAUCAGUGGCGAAGGCGACCACCUGGUCUGAUACUGACGCUGAGGUGCGAAAGCGUGGGGAGCAAACAGGAUUAGAUA
Molecule: ribosomal RNA, 279 nt
Filed under: uncultured bacterium
Lineage: Bacteria
Description: partial 16S ribosomal RNA
Rfam family: Bacterial small subunit ribosomal RNA
Source: RNAcentral